Molecule: ribosomal RNA, 460 nt
Filed under: uncultured bacterium
Lineage: Bacteria
Description: partial 16S ribosomal RNA
Rfam family: Bacterial small subunit ribosomal RNA
Source: RNAcentral
CCUACGGGUGGCAGCAGUGAGGAAUAUUGGUCAAUGGACGCAAGUCUGAACCAGCCAUGCCGCGUGCAGGAAGACGGCUCUAUGAGUUGUAAACUGCUUUUGUACGAGGGUAAACGCAGAUACGCGUAUCUGUCUGAAAGUAUCGUACGAAUAAGGAUCGGCUAACUCCGUGCCAGCAGCCGCGGUAAUACGGAGGAUUCAAGCGUUAUCCGGAUUUAUUGGGUUUAAAGGGUGCGUAGGCGGUCGGAUAAGUUAGAGGUGAAAUCCCGAGGCUCAACUUCGGAAUUGCCUCUGAUACUGUUCGGCUAGAGAGUAGUUGCGGUAGGCGGAAUGUAUGGUGUAGCGGUGAAAUGCUUAGAGAUCAUACAGAACCCCGAUUGCGAAGGCAGCUUACCAAGCUACUUCUGACGUUGAGGCACGAAAGCGUGGGGAGCGAACAGGAUUAGAUACCCUAGUAGUC